AGGGUUGUGGCUCAGUGGUAGAGCGCUCACCUAGCAUGUGUGACACCCUGAGUUUGAUUCUCAGCACCACAU
Molecule: non-coding RNA, 72 nt
Organism: Ictidomys tridecemlineatus (thirteen-lined ground squirrel)
Lineage: Eukaryota; Metazoa; Chordata; Mammalia; Rodentia; Sciuridae
Source: Rfam